AAGGUGGCCUGUGAGGGUUGCUGGAGGUAUCAGAAGUGCGAAUGCUGACAUAAGUAACGAUAAAGCGGGUGAAAAGCCCGCUCGCCGGAAGACCAAGGGUUCCUGUCCAACGUUAAUCGGGGCAGGGUGAGUCGACCCCUAAGGCGAGGCCGAAAGGCGUAGUCGAUGGGAAACGGGUUAAUAUUCCCGUACUUGGUGUUACUGCGAAGGGGGGACGGAGAAGGCUAUGUUGGCCGGGCGACGGUUGUCCCGGUUUAAGCGUGUAGGUGUGUGUUCCAGGUAAAUCCGGUUCACUUUAACACUGAGGCGUGACGACGAGGCACUACGGUGCUGAAGCAACAAAUGCCCUGCUUCCAGGAAAAGCCUCUAAGCAUCAGGUAACAUCAAAUCGUACCCCAAACCGACACAGGUGGUCAGGUAGAGAAUACCAAGGCGCUUGAGAGAACUCGGGUGAAGGAACUAGGCAAAAUGGUGCCGUAACUUCGGGAGAAGGCACGCUGACACGUAGGUGAAGUGAUUUACUCAUGGAGCUGAAGUCAGUCGAAGAUACCAGCUGGCUGCAACUGUUUAUUAAAAACACAGCACUGUGCAAACACGAAAGUGGACGUAUACGGUGUGACGCCUGCCCGGUGCCGGAAGGUUAAUUGAUGGGGUCAGCGCAAGCGAAGCUCCUGAUCGAAGCCCCGGUAAACGGCGGCCGUAACUAUAACGGUCCUAAGGUAGCGAAAUUCCUUGUCGGGUAAGUUCCGACCUGCACGAAUGGCGUAAUGAUGGCCAGGCUGUCUCCACCCGAGACUCAGUGAAAUUGAACUCGCUGUGAAGAUGCAGUGUACCCGCGGCAAGACGGAAAGACCCCGUGAACCUUUACUAUAGCUUGACACUGAACAUUGAGCCUUGAUGUGUAGGAUAGGUGGGAGGCUUUGAAGUGUGGACGCCAGUCUGCAUGGAGCCGACCUUGAAAUACCACCCUUUAAUGUUUGAUGUUCUAACGUGGACCCGUGAUCCGGGUUGCGGACAGUGUCUGGUGGGUAGUUUGACUGGGGCGGUCUCCUCCUAAAGAGUAACGGAGGAGCACGAAGGUUGGCUAAUCCUGGUCGGACAUCAGGAGGUUAGUGCAAUGGCAUAAGCCAGCUUGACUGCGAGCGUGACGGCGCGAGCAGGUGCGAAAGCAGGUCAUAGUGAUCCGGUGGUUCUGAAUGGAAGGGCCAUCGCUCAACGGAUAAAAGGUACUCCGGGGAUAACAGGCUGAUACCGCCCAAGAGUUCAUAUCGACGGCGGUGUUUGGCACCUCGAUGUCGGCUCAUCACAUCCUGGGGCUGAAGUAGGUCCCAAGGGUAUGGCUGUUCGCCAUUUAAAGUGGUACGCGAGCUGGGUUUAGAACGUCGUGAGACAGUUCGGUCCCUAUCUGCCGUGGGCGCUGGAGAACUGAGGGGGGCUGCUCCUAGUACGAGAGGACCGGAGUGGACGCAUCACUGGUGUUCGGGUUGUCAUGCCAAUGGCACUGCCCGGUAGCUAAAUGCGGAAGAGAUAAGUGCUGAAAGCAUCUAAGCACGAAACUUGCCCCGAGAUGAGUUCU
Molecule: ribosomal RNA, 1576 nt
Filed under: Salmonella enterica
Lineage: Bacteria; Pseudomonadati; Pseudomonadota; Gammaproteobacteria; Enterobacterales; Enterobacteriaceae
Also listed under: 1 other name
Description: bacterial LSU rRNA
Rfam family: Bacterial large subunit ribosomal RNA
Source: RNAcentral